GAGGAGCUGCAACCAUCAAGUACUGCAUUGCUAGAAAGGAUGGGAGGCGAGGAGAAGAUCAGAGUAACUUCCUUUUCCGGAUCGCUCAGGGGAAGAAGGAGGCGUGGGGGGGGAGGCUUUUGUGCUCUUCCCAGGGUCGAAGCAGCAGCUGGAAGACAAAGAAGAUGGCAAUAAGAGCACUCUGGAGAAGUGGCGGAGGACUGGGAGCCACAGCGAAGGGAUGAAAGAGCCGCAUGCGGCUCAGGAACCACGAGUUGCUGAUCCCUGGUCUAAUCUCUUCUUAAAAACCUCCAGUGAUGGAGCACCCAUGAUUUCUGAAGACAAACAAGACUACCAAAGAAACUACAAUGGGAAAUGAGGAGGGAUGUGGCAUCCAGGACAGGGUUGUAUAAAGAAGGAAUAUUUUUGGUUGGAACUUUGGAGAGAACCAAGCUUUGAUAGCUUCUCUCCUCGCUUAUUGCAAUAAAUGAAAUAAAAGGCCUUCACUGUGCCUUGGCUGGUUAUUGGUCAGGUGAGUUUGCUUCUGGUCAUGAAGGAAAGUAGGCAGGAGCACAUAACACUCUGGUUAAUUGUCUGCAUUUUUAGGAAGUUUCUCCUUAAUUCCAGGUUCUUCUCUCUCUGAUCAGUUUCCAACCGUUGUUUCUUAUCCUGCCCUCUGAUGCUUUGGAGAAUUUUAUCCCACCUUCCUUGUGGCAGCCCCCCAAAUACUGUGGGGGAGAGGUCAGGGGGACCAUGGGGGAAAAAUCUGUGGGGACCAUGGGAUGGGAGAAAAGUUUGGUUGGUCCCUAUAAGGGAGGAAGAGCCCCAGGGGAACCAAGGGUUGGGAAGCAGAGCACAGGGUGUCUCAGGGGUGGGGGAGGCCUAGGGAUACCUGUGGGGGCAGGUCUGAGCCUGCAUUAGGCCUUCAAGACCUUCUCCCAACAGUUGGGGUGCUAGUAUUCCACGUAGCGACUUACACAUCUGUUUAAUGGCUGCAUCACGGACGGUGGAGGUAAUUAACUAAACCACUCUCACUUCAUGGCUUUUGCAACGUGCAACUGUAACUGGCAGGCCCCAUUAUAGUUUUAACUUGAAGACUACUGGCGUGCUGGCUGGGAAAAUAUGGGGAUCAAAAUCUGGAGCACAACAAGCAAGGCUGAAACUCCAUAUGUUGGAUUUCCAUAAUCAAUAUACAAAAAGCACACAAAACGCUAUUUGAGGAGUUCCACAAGUUCUGUAAAAGGAAACAUCCAGAAACAUCUGCUGAUAAUUAGAAACAGGUCAUUAGCCUUUAUUAAGCUA
Molecule: long non-coding RNA, 1281 nt
Organism: Crotalus tigris (Tiger rattlesnake)
Lineage: Eukaryota; Metazoa; Chordata; Lepidosauria; Squamata; Viperidae
Exons: 3
Source: RefSeq, a predicted model, not a curated record